UCCCUGGUGGUUCAGUGGGUGAAGGAUCUGGCAUUGUUGCUGCUGUGGCAUGGGUUCGAUCCCUAACCCGGGAA
RNAcentral lists this transfer RNA (74 nucleotides) under Sus scrofa (pig). It matches the Rfam family "tRNA". Rfam says of the family: Transfer RNA (tRNA) molecules are approximately 80 nucleotides in length. Their secondary structure includes four short double-helical elements and three loops (D, anti-codon, and T loops). Lineage: Eukaryota; Metazoa; Chordata; Mammalia; Artiodactyla; Suidae. The record is from Rfam by way of RNAcentral.